RNAcentral lists this ribosomal RNA (333 nucleotides) under uncultured Methanomicrobiales archaeon. RNAcentral describes it as "bacterial SSU rRNA". It matches the Rfam family "Archaeal small subunit ribosomal RNA", at positions 1006 to 1338 of the family's 1478-position model. The record is from RNAcentral. Lineage: Archaea; Methanobacteriati; Methanobacteriota; Methanomicrobia; Methanomicrobiales.
AGUUCGUACUGUGAAGCAUCCUGUUAAGUCAGGCAACGAGCGAGACCCACGCCAACAGUUGCCAGCUCGUCCUCCGGGAUGGUGGGGACACUGUUGGGACCGCCUCUGCUAAAGAGGAGGAAGGAAUGGGCAACGGUAGGUCAGCAUGCCCCGAAUUAUCUGGGCUACACGCGGGCUACAAUGGGUGGGACAAUGGGUAUCGACACCGAAAGGUGAAGGCAAUCUCCUAAACCCAUCCGUAGUUCGGAUUGUGGGCUGCAACUCGCCCACAUGAAGCUGGAAUCUGUAGUAAUCGUGUCUCAAAAUGGCACGGUGAAUAUGUCCCUGCUCCUU